GUCCCUGUAGUUUAAUCGGAUAGAACGUAUGCCUCCUAAGCGUAUGAUGUGGGUUCGAUUCCCGCCGGGGACGCCA
This 76-nucleotide transfer RNA is filed under the name Cellvibrio mixtus. Its description in RNAcentral is "tRNA-Arg". It matches the Rfam family "tRNA". From Rfam's summary of the family: Transfer RNA (tRNA) molecules are approximately 80 nucleotides in length. The record is from RNAcentral. Lineage: Bacteria; Pseudomonadati; Pseudomonadota; Gammaproteobacteria; Cellvibrionales; Cellvibrionaceae. RNAcentral also lists the same sequence under 6 other names.